Helianthus annuus (common sunflower) is the source of this 557-nucleotide long non-coding RNA. RefSeq lists it as uncharacterized. The transcript has 4 exons. The record is from RefSeq and is a predicted model, not a curated record. NCBI's taxonomy places the organism in Eukaryota, Viridiplantae, Streptophyta, Magnoliopsida, Asterales, Asteraceae.
AUUUUAGUGAAAUCUUGACAUUUCUAUGGAGGAUUCACAAGAUGUCUGUGAUCACAUUGAUAGGUUAUGGUCAACUACGUUUACGACUGAAUUGUACCGAAUAGUGGUAGUUUUUCUAGCAAUUGACGCUUAAUUGCUUCAAGAAUAUCGUGAUGGAGCCUGGAGGAUGCAAGCGAGGAUCAAAGAACGCCAACAACACCAGAUUCUUUUAAAAUGCAGCACCCAUCCUGGGUAAUAAUCUAUAUAAUUUUUGAGUCAGCAUGAGGAAGCUGCAUCACGAAGGACAGUUUGUCAAAUGCAAAGUACUUGGCAUUGGCCGUUCUAGGACGGGGGGCUGUUCAUGCUGAUUUGUCUUUGCACUCAUCUUUAGUUGGGAUUAAUGGGUAAGUAUAAUACUAACUCUGUUAUUUUACAUGGUUGUUAUUGUGCAAACAAGAACAAUGAAUUUACUGGAAUAAUUGUUUGAAGGAAUUCUGGAAGUAAUCGAUAUGAAAAGAUUGAAAAUCUUAAUGCUAAUAUGGUCAUAGAGAAAUCGAAGCAUGGUAUCGCUUUUUACA